GUUGAGGAACGUCUAGCUCUAUAUCCAGGUGGAUGAUCUAGUUGAGGAACGUCUAGCUCUAUAUCCAGGUGGGUGAUCUAGUUGAGAAACGUCUAGCUCUAUAUCCAGGUGGAUGAUCUAGUUGAUGAACGUCUAGCUCUAUAUCCAGGUGGAUGAUCUAGUUGAGGAACGUCUAGCUCUAUAUCCAGGUGGGUGAUCUAGUUGAGAAACGUCUAGCUCUAUAUCCAGGUGGAUGAUCUAGUUGAGGAACGUCUAGCUCUAUAGCUAGGUGGAUGAUCUAGUUGGGGAACGUCUAGCUCUAUAUACACGGUGGAUGAUCUAGUUGAUGACGUCUAGCUCUAUAUCAGCUAGGGGUUGUGACGAGAGAGAGGAGAGAGGAGGGAGGCUGUUGAGGAUGAGAACAUCUUACAACAUGAUAUGACAGGAGCUUGGGGUUGGGUUACUGAUCUGGAACAACUCUGCCCCCUAGUGGUCUUCAUCCAAUACUACUACUGAAACCUCAGAACAGUCACCCAGCCUGGUUGGAUAAUACUACUACUGAAACCUCAGAACAGUCACCCAGCCUGGUUG
RNAcentral lists this long non-coding RNA (570 nucleotides) under Salmo salar (Atlantic salmon). RNAcentral's name for it is "lncRNA (ENSSSAG00000084830.1)". The record is from RNAcentral. Lineage: Eukaryota; Metazoa; Chordata; Actinopteri; Salmoniformes; Salmonidae.